UUUUGUUUUUGUCAAAUGUGACCAAUCAGAAGAAGUCACGUCAGAUGAUAUUGGUAUCACAAAUAUUAGUGGGCUGAUACUGAUCAAGAAUAUUCUAAUUGCUUUACUAAUAUAAAAAUAAUUUUUGGACUUGUGAUACUCUAAAAAUAUCACCCAUGUACAUGGUCUUAUAUCCUCUUGACGAAAAAAGAGUUAUAUCCUAAUGUAUUAUAUUAAUAUUGUUAUCGCGUCGCAACUCUAAUUCAGAUAUGGGUAAUAGCUUGUGUGGGAAGUGGGAGAUU
RNAcentral lists this small RNA (281 nucleotides) under Arabidopsis thaliana (thale cress). Its description in RNAcentral is "ATSL307950". Lineage: Eukaryota; Viridiplantae; Streptophyta; Magnoliopsida; Brassicales; Brassicaceae. The record is from RNAcentral.